GGGGUCGUUACGGAUUCGACAGGCAUUAUGAGGCUUAUUUUGCGACUCAUCGGCAGAUGUAAAAAUGCCAGUUAAAUAUAACUGCAAAAAAUAACACUUCUUACGCUGUAGCUGCCUAAAAACCAGCUCGCGUGACUUUUACAAAAGUGCUUACCUUUUGUUAAAAGUCUUAUUUCAGUAAGCUACGUUUAACGAGUGCCAAGAUCGUUAAAAAGAGAUUGAUUGGAUCGCUUUGGAAAGGCUUGAGCUAUGUGUCUUUUCAGGGUUAAAUCAAGACAUAGCCUAUGGUUGUAGACAAAUAAGUUGGCAGGUGUUUGGACGUGGGUUCGACUCCCACCGGCUCCA
RNAcentral lists this transfer-messenger RNA (345 nucleotides) under Streptococcus ferus. Its description in RNAcentral is "transfer-messenger RNA, SsrA". It matches the Rfam family "transfer-messenger RNA". From Rfam's summary of the family: Bacterial tmRNA, also known as 10Sa RNA or SsrA, is named for its dual tRNA and mRNA-like properties. Its role is to liberate the mRNA from a stalled ribosome. The record is from RNAcentral. Lineage: Bacteria; Bacillati; Bacillota; Bacilli; Lactobacillales; Streptococcaceae.